UGAACGUCGUCAGUGAUCAGAGAUGGCCGACCCACCGGCUGUGGACAGUGAGCGUGUGUGGAGGGGAUGUUUUCUGCGUCUACAGUUCGACAACUGGGAACUUUGGAGCAUAUUUUCGGAUGUCCGGAGUAACCGAAUCAGGUGGCGAUCUGUUGGUGACUCUCGUUAGUCGCGAUGUACGACGUAAUCGGUCGAAUCGCGAAACUGCGCACAACGAAACUUCUCGAAUCACGGCGUGAAAUUUGCCACUUCAUUUCGUACGCGUCACACAACGUAACCGAAAGCCGCGAGUGUAUCGGACGAAGGGAAGUGUGGUUGUGUCCCUGCGUGUCUUUCUGUAUUUACUUCCAGCGCAGUAAGUUCCGGGAAUCGGUAAUUGCGUCGCGUUGUUAAUCUGCGAGAUGCGUAACGCCUGGCGUUUCUCGGGCCGAUUCGCGUGUGAUUUGCAAUGUGAGUGUGACGAGCAAGUGUCGGAAAUGACGCACUCGUUCGUCACACUCGGCGUCGGGACAAUAGACAAUGGCGGGUGUGCAUCGUCGAGUGUGUGUAUUAUUUUCAGACUCGUUCGAAGACGAGUUCGAAGGUGUUGUGCGAGUGUUCAACGAAGGACCAGUGUAUCCGUUGGUCUCUCGCGUUAAUCGUGAUGUGCGAUGUAAUCGGUCGGGUCGCAAAACUGCGCAGCGAAGCUUUUCGACUGGCGUAAACUGUCGCGUUGAUUAAUCCGCGGGAUGUGUGACGAGAUUGGCGUUCCUCGAGCCGAUUUGCGUGUGACGAGAGAGCGCGGGGGAAGACGCGGCGUCGGAGCAGCGACGAAAGUAGCGGUGCAUCGUCGGGUGUGUGAAUUAUUUUCAGACAAAUUCGGAGUUCGGUAGUGUUGUGCGAGUGUUUGACGAAGGAUCCCAGUGUAUCUGAGAGGAGGAGGAGGCCUGGGAGGCAUCAGGCGACGGCGGAACAACCCUGAAUCAACGUAGUCUGCGAUGCUGUUUGAUUUCCGCUGCUGCGCAUCGUAUCGUAUCAUCGUAGCUUUGUGGCUGAGUAACCGCUUGUAAGUACUUCGCUCGUUACGCAUCGGUCGGUGAGUCAGUAAUAAUUUUUUUUCAUUAUAUUUGCAUGCUUUUCAAAUGUCCUGCGCAGGAUCAAAGUAUUAUAUUAUCGCGCGAUUGUAUCCGUAUUUUCGCGAGUGAGUGAGUCAAUCUGAGGAAGAAAAGGAAGUCUAGAAAACAACUUUGGGUGAGUAAUAUUUGUAACAUGUACUGAAUGUAUGUAUAACAUAUCCAUACCAAUCGAUGGAUAUCGUAUGUUACAGAUAUUCUUCGAGGUGGAAAGCGACGAGAAGAGAACAUCAUCCAUCGUCGCCGACUUAUAAUAAAAUAAACGAACCGCAGCCGGUUCGUCGCGUCGCGCGUUUUUUUUCCGGGAGUGCCGUUUAAGUAUUGGACUAAUGAACUUUUCAUAACUCCCAUUCGAUAGAAUCCUAAUUCGAGGGCCGGAAAUCGCACCCCCGCUGCUUGGCAGUGAAUAUCCUCACUGGGGCGUUGCGCAUGGUGGGCGUGCGCGCCGCACCGCGACGUUCCAUGCCGAGUGCCCGUGCACGAGGUAAUGCCGGGCCGUAUGUACGACAUGUUCGUGUGCAUGUUGCGCGGCUGUCUGGUUGUGUGAGUUUACACGCUCUUUCUCCGGCGAUCGGUUCGGUCCUAAGCGGUUAGAGUUCGGAUCGGUUGCCUUGGAUUCGCACGUUUCUCUUGCUUUCGUCCACCAUCCUAAGGCUUUCUUAGAUCCUUGAUACCUUUUUUGGAUUCUUUGGAUCUGGGGUUCGAGCUAGGUGAAUGACGUUUACUCUGACUUGGUCAGAACUUGGCCUUGUAGGUUAAGCUUGUGACGAGAGGCUGGCUCUCAUUUCCUGAUUCGUCUAAAAUGCUAGACGUCGGUAAUGAGUACCUUCUUCUCUCGUCCUGCCGGAGUGUCUUAUCGACGCCGCUUGGAUAUAAGAUCCAGUGGGACUGAUUAAGAUGAUCCGUUGGCUGGGCGUAUGAACGAGUCAAUUUUAGACGUGAUUUUUGUGAGACAAGAGGCUUCGGAUUCAAUGCCAUUGAUUUCGUCUUCUUCCGCGUGGGACUUACCCUUGUUCGGGGGCGGGUACGCGUGCGUUCUACUCGUCGACUCGGGGUGCUGAAUUCACGGGAAUCCCUCUGAAUGGGAACUCAUAUCAUGGGUUUUAUUAACCGGAAGUGCCGCAAUAUCGCGCGAAAGCUUUAUAAAUAAUUAGUCCACGCGCGCAAAUUUACUAUAUUAUUCGCGAGUGUUUCGCGUGUGCAACGAAAGGAAGAGGCUUAACUACCUGGAGGACUGAGAGGAGGAGGAGGCCUGGGAGAGGCAUCGGGCCUCAGCGGAGCAACCUUG
Solenopsis invicta (red fire ant) is the source of this 2400-nucleotide long non-coding RNA. RefSeq lists it as uncharacterized. Lineage: Eukaryota; Metazoa; Arthropoda; Insecta; Hymenoptera; Formicidae. The record is from RefSeq and is a predicted model, not a curated record. The transcript has 3 exons.